UCGAUUGAGUUUGAUCAUGGCUCAGAUUGAACGCUGGCGGCAUGCUUUACACAUGCAAGUCGAACGGCAGCACGGGGGCAACCUUGGUGGCGAGUGGCGAACGGGUGAGUAAUGCAUCGGAACGUAUCCUUAAGUGGGGGAUAACGCAUCGAAAGAUGCGCUAAUACCGCAUAAUCUCUAAGGAGAAAAGCAGGGGAUCGCAAGACCUUGCGCUUUUGGAGCGGUCGAUGUCUGAUUAGCUAGUUGGUGAGGUAAAGGCUUACCAAGGCUUCGAUCAGUAGCUGGUCUGAGAGGACGACCAGCCACACUGGGACUGAGACACGGCCCAGACUCCUACGGGAGGCAGCAGUGGGGAAUUUUGGACAAUGGGGGCAACCCUGAUCCAGCCAUGCCGCGUGAGUGAAGAAGGCCUUCGGGUUGUAAAGCUCUUUCAGCCGGAACGAAACGGUUACGGUUAAUAACCGUGACUACUGACGGUACCGGAAGAAGAAGCACCGGCUAACUACGUGCCAGCAGCCGCGGUAAUACGUAGGGUGCGAGCGUUAAUCGGAAUUACUGGGCGUAAAGCGUGCGCAGGCGGUUUUGUAAGUCAGAUGUGAAAUCCCCGGGCUUAACCUGGGAACUGCGUUUGAAACUACAAGGCUAGAGUGUGGCAGAGGGGGGUGGAAUUCCACGUGUAGCAGUGAAAUGCGUAGAGAUGUUGAGGAACACCGAUGGCGAAGGCAGCCCCCUGGGUUAACACUGACGCUCAGGCACGAAAGCGUGGGGAGCAAACAGGAU
RNAcentral lists this ribosomal RNA (780 nucleotides) under uncultured bacterium. Its description in RNAcentral is "bacterial SSU rRNA". It matches the Rfam family "Bacterial small subunit ribosomal RNA", at positions 1 to 778 of the family's 1533-position model. The record is from RNAcentral.